Long non-coding RNA from Piliocolobus tephrosceles (Ugandan red Colobus), 3992 nucleotides. RefSeq lists it as uncharacterized. Lineage: Eukaryota; Metazoa; Chordata; Mammalia; Primates; Cercopithecidae. The record is from RefSeq and is a predicted model, not a curated record. The transcript has 6 exons.
UCACCUUUCAGGGUGUGGAAGCUUUGUUCUUUUGCUCUUUACAGUAAAUCUUGCUGCUGGUUGCUCUCUGGGUGCGUGCCUCCUUUAAGAGCUGUAACACUCACAGGGAAGGUCCCCAGCUUCAUUCUUGAAGUCAGCAAGACCAAGAAUCCACAGGAAGGAACCAACUUCAGACACAAGAGCAACAGGCUGCUACUGCGAAGAGGCCCAAACAGCAGAGAUCUCAGCACUUCCAGCAUGGGCAGACAACCCAGCAUCCCAUUACUACACGUUGACCCCCGUCUCACGGCCACCCCUGGAUGUGCCAUACCCACACUCCGUCUGCCUGGUUGGAAGUGGUUUGGGGGAAGACGAAGGGAUAGCAAAUGGUAGACUGUCACUUGGUCCUCCAAGCGCAGGAGAGGCUGACCAGCAUUUAUUAACUGCGUGGUGAACGGCCCGUUGUCCGAACAGUCACCAUCAGGUCCUAGCGGCAGGCCAGGUCAGCGCAGUGUCUGGUGUGAGGGCCUGGACUUUCGAAAUGCAUCUAUGGCCAGGGUGAGGCAGCAGAGGCAGAAAAGGCCGAGGCCCAGCAGGCCAGCCAGCCCUUCAAACUGCAGCCCUCGAUGCUGGUACAUAGUCGUGCGCAAACUUCGGCACACGCCAGUGCAGGCAGCACUAGCUGUUGGCUGAGCGCAGUCUCCACUUAGUGGCGGUCCGAAGACGGAACCAGGGGCUCAGGCUCUGGCUUCUGCUUUGCCAGAAGCCUCUAUGGGCAUCUGCUUCCGCGAACUGAGCUCCUCCUCCUGCUGGACAACUUCAGGGGCAAGAACCUAGAACAGAGCUUGGCUUGUGAUGGGCUUCCACUGUUUAAUGAAUAAAUGAAGGAGUAAAUGAAUCAAGAUAACCUCAUACAUCUCUUCAAUGUGGAAUUGGAAAGCCUUCUACAGGAACUCGUCAGAAGGAAAUAAGGCCUACAAGAGUUUUAACCAGUAGCUGAGAAAGGUCCAAAAGUAGAGUCACAUAGAAAGGGGCACUCUGAGCAAGGCUCAAAGAAAUGCUGCUGAAUCAACAGUGUCUCUACAAGGAACCAGUCAACACUGAACUCCUGCUGUGUGCAUGGCACUGGGCUGGGCAAUGUGAAGGACACAGAGGAAACAACAGACUCUCCAGACCAUCCACUGCUCCAUCAAUGAUGAAAAAAGACAAACUGACCAUGCCGGUGCUGUCUGACGAGGAUGCAGAACUGGAGUUUGCAGACAGUCCUGAGGGAAUGUAUGAUGCUACAGACACUUGGGAAAAGACGUUGGCAGUUUCUCUGAAAGUAAAACACACUUGCCAUAUGACCCAACAAUCGUAUUCCUAGGAUUUACUCAAGUAAAAUGAAAAAUUAUGUCUAAGCAAAAAGCCUGUAAGUGAAUGUUUAUAGCAGAUUUAUUCCUAUUUAUCCCAAACUGGAAACUAUCCAUCCACUAACUAUUGACUAGACAAACAAACCACAGCUCUUUCUUAUGGUGGAAUACUACUCAGCAUCAGAAGGAAUGAAUGUCUGAUACGUACAGCAACAUGGAUCUGUCUCAGAUGUAUUAUGCUAAAGAAAGAAGCCCAACUCAACAGGUUGCAUACUGUUCAAUUCCCCUUAUAUGAUAUUCUGGAAAAAGAAAAACUAUAAGGGUAGAAAACAGAGCAGUGGUUGCUGGGAGUGGGGUUGAAUCAAAAGGGGCAAGAGGGAAUGAGUGAUGGAACUGAUUUAUAUAUAGAUUGUGGUAGCGGUGGUUAUGUGACUGUAUGCAUUUGUCAAACUUCACAGAACGUAUGUCUAAAAAGAAUAUAUUUCAUUGUAUCUAAAUUUUACCUCAAUAAACCUAAUGAAAGAAUUCAGGGUGGUAACUUGAAGAAAAAUAAGAGUUAAAAAUAUGUAUAGUCUUUACUUGUACACCUAAAGAUACAAAUGAAACUCAAAAGCCUCACUAUCCCUGAGGCAGAGACAAGUUAACUUCACUGCCAGUUUAUGAUCAGGUAAAGGCUACUGUGUUACCGUGGAUACAAGCUGUUAUUCUCUUUUGUAUGAAACCUUUCAUAUUAUUAAAUUGUGACUCACAUGGUGCAGGGGUAAACUCAGAAACAUCCAAAGUCACCCAAGGGUUUUUCCAUGUUAGGAACCCUGCCCAUAGCGUUUUCUUCAUGAACACAUGAAAAACUGUGUGAUGUCAGUGAACAUAUCCUUAAGGGGUUAAAGAAAGAAAGGUUAGAAACUUUUUGGCUAAAAGCUGUCUGCUAGUCCUCAGGUCAUUAAGGCUCUUUCUUUUUUUAUUGUUUGUUACAGAAAUGAUUUCCCAAACAUAGACUGUGGAAAUGGUGACAUAUGGGAGGCUGACCCCUCCUCCCUCUGUCAUCUUUCAUGUGAAACCAUGAUUUUCUGAUUUAUAAAGUAGAUAGCGUGGAGAUUGCAGGUAGGUUUUAAAGUCAGGCUAAUUCUUUGUGGUGGGAUUCAAAUUAGCGAAUUGUGGUAAUUUAUUCACACAUGGUAGGUCAUGAUAGAAAUAAGACUUUAAAAAGCACCUAUAUUUUAAAACUCUGUUAAAAAUGUUCUGCCGCAGAGAUAGCCAUACAUCUGCCUAACAACCAGUAAACAUUAAAAUCAUAGCAGCCACUAGGGACCCUGGUGCUUUCUGUAGGUGAAGGAGGCACCACACACACCUCUUAGGCCUUGGCUCUCCCGCUCCCUGUCUUGCUUUUCAUGAUCCAGGAUCCCACACAGUCCAGAGCUCCCACACGCACCAUGCUAGGCCUGCCUCCAGGCCUAUGUCUAUUCAGUCCUUCAUUUGACAUAGAUAUUUUGACUGUCUACUAUGUGUCUGUUAUGGAUUGAAUUGUGCCCUGCCCCCCAGCCCCAAAUCCAAAUGUUGAAGUCCUAGCCCCUACUAGGACCUUAUCUGGAAAUAAGUCCUUGCAGAUAUAAGUAAUUAAGAUGAGGUCAUACUGGAGCAGGAGGGCCGCUAAUCCUGUAUGAAUUGUGUCCUUAUAAAAAGCAGGAAUAUGGACACACACACAUGGAGAAUGACAAGGGAUGAUGAAGGCAGAGAGCAGGGUGAUGUGUCUACAAGUCAAGGAAGGCCAAAGAUUGUCAACCAACCUCCAGAAGCUGGGAGAGAGGCAGGAGUCAGACUCUCCUUACAGCAUCAGAAGGAACCAACCCUGCUCUUAGACCCUAGAUCUUGGACUUGUAGCCUUCAGAACUGUGAGAUAAUACGUUUCUGUCUCAACUCCAUUUUUAGUUCUAUAAAGUACAUUUCCUACUGACAAGGAGAUGCUGAAAAGAGAUGAGAAGCUCCCUUAACCGAAUCCCUCGUUCAGGAGGAUGGCUCAGGUGGUGAUUCGGAACACUGCUCCUUUGCGGACCAGGCACGUGGCUCCUCAGUGCUUCUGCGGCCCUGACGGAGCAGCUCGCCCUUGCCUCCUCUGACUUCUUUUUGAUUUGAAUCUGCAAUAACCUAAAAUACUUUAUAUACCUUUAAAGCAACUGGGAUAAUCUUUUCUAGAGGGAAAGAGGGAGAGUUGUGUAAAGUGUGGCAUAGUUGCUUUUGGGCUAGGUCUGGCGUCAUGGCCUUUGGGGAAAUCGAUGGCCUCUCAUCUUGGCGAGUGCGCCGACAAACACCCAAUGUUGGGGCAUAUGGACAACCCCAGAAGUCUCACACAGCAGCUGUUACAUCGAUUUCCAAGUACAGAGACCUGAGCAAUAACUGCAGUGACAUUUUCCUGGCUGGCUCUGACCUCUGAAUCUCACUGAUUAGUCUAACACACACUGUGAACAUCAACCAGUUAGGACUCUAAGCCAAGACUCAAAAAUUGCUUUAAAAUGGCAGGAGAUGUUUAAGACAUAAUUUGUGUGAGUUGGUCAUUAACUUUCUCACUUCCCAAUCCGUGAUUCUUUUUUAUACUCUCCCUCUCAAUUAUUUUUCCCUGUUAGGCUGAUGCUUCUGUAGUAGUUACCUCUAAUCACUAAGAUACUU